AACAAGAGUUACUUUACCCAACUCCCAAGGAAAUUGAUAAAAGAAAAACAUGUCUGCAUACUAAAUGUUCUUGCAAAUCUUGUUCUCAGAUUGUCAAUUGAAGGCGACCACGAGAUAUUCUCAUGUUCUUUUAUAAUGUUUAUUUGGGGAUUAAAAUCUUGAUAAUUAGAUGUACUGCUUCGCUUCAUAUGUAAUUUCCCUCAUGCCUUCUAAUCCGUUCAGAUGACUAGCUAUUAUCCACAUUAGGUUUUGCUCUAUCUAAUUGGUCGUUCAAUUAGUCAAAUAGCCGUUUCAUUUUUAUUAUGCUGACACAAGAUCUGUCUCUGUUCUAAGAUUUAGUUUCUGGUCACUUUUUGUGAGGUUUUUCAUCAAAGAUUCUCUUUAAACUCCUAUUUUAUACCUUUCUUUAUGGUUCUUUGCAUGGAAGUACUCUGUCUUCUUGCUUAUAUUAUUCUUCUGCUAUCAUACAGAUUUGGAUGCACCUGCACAGUACUGAUAGUACAUGAAAUUCAUCAACCUGCUGUUGCCGCAACCAACCAAAAUUUGCUCUAACAGAGUGAUGAAUACAAUAUGCAUGCUAAGCUUUCUUCAAAUUAUGCUAAUUGAUCUUAAAAAGCUGGCUACUGGUGUUAUUUGCUGCAAUUUAUUUCUGACAGCCAGGUAGUCUUGGAAUGCUUUCGUGAUGCAAUUUAUUUCUGACAGACAAGCUAUGCUAAUUGAUCUUUAAAAGCUGGCUACUGGUGUUAUCUGCUUUGUGGAAGGCUGUUAGCAUUAAACUUUAGUGCUCGCCUGUUCAUCAUAGUCUCAUUCCCUAGAUAAUUAAUGAGGCAUGAAAAAUAGGUGAAAUUGCAGGAAAAUUGAAGAUGGGAACACGAUUCAUUUUGUCAAUGAGAACAUCUACUGUUACAGAUACACUUUCUGUAUUCUACCUAUCGAUGGCGUAAUGUUUGAAUAUUAAGUCAUUUCUUUUUGUCAUUAGCAGGUGCUUUUAUUUAUGUUCAUAUUCCACGUAUGCAUGUGCUGCUCCGGUGAUGUUUUAUUAGUUGAUUGGCAUAUAUGGAUCUCUCCAUGUUUAUUAGUUGAUCUCCAACCCCUACUUUGCUGUGGUGCUAUGGGAGCAAGAAGAGCAUGCAUGCUUUCUCUCUACAUCUAGGGUCCAUACGGCCAGAUUGACGGGCCUAAACUCUGGCUUCACUUGGAUUUAUGUGAAUAUAAGCGUAAGAGGUCUAGUGGCAAUGCUACAAAAUCACUGCAGGCGAUAUAAUAACGUUGUAGAUAGACGGAGACUGAAUCAGUUGACACUACUUUGAUGUCUAUCGAGCCAAUGGGACAACAAAGUCCUUGCAGAAAAGAAGAACCGGAAGCAGGUUAUCUAUCUUCACGAGCAAGC
Non-coding RNA from Triticum urartu, 1390 nucleotides. The record is from RefSeq and is a predicted model, not a curated record. NCBI's taxonomy places the organism in Eukaryota, Viridiplantae, Streptophyta, Magnoliopsida, Poales, Poaceae.